RNAcentral lists this ribosomal RNA (465 nucleotides) under uncultured bacterium. RNAcentral describes it as "partial 16S ribosomal RNA". It matches the Rfam family "Bacterial small subunit ribosomal RNA", at positions 28 to 507 of the family's 1533-position model. The record is from RNAcentral.
GACGAACGCUGGCGGCGUGCUUAACACAUGCAAGUCGUACGGUAAGGCCCUUUCGGGGGUACACGAGUGGCGAACGGGUGUGUAACACGUGAGUAACCUGCCCACAACUUUGGGAUAACGCUAGGAAACUGGUGCUAAUACUGGAUAUGUGCUCCUGCUGCAUGGUGGGGGUUGGAAAGCUCCGGCGGUUGUGGAUGGACUCGCGGCCUAUCAGCUUGUUGGUGGGGUAGUGGCCUACCAAGGCGGCGACGGGUAGCCGGCCUGAGAGGGUGACCGGCCACAUUGGGACUGAGAUACGGCCCAGACUCCUACGGGAGGCAGCAGUGGGGAAUAAUGCACAAUGGGCGCAAGCCUGAUGCAGCAACGCCGCGUGCGGGAUGACGGCCUUCGGGUUGUAAACCGCUUUCAGCAGGGACGAAGCUUUUUGUGACGGUACCUGCAGAAGAAGCACCGGCUAACUACGUG